This 468-nucleotide ribosomal RNA is filed under the name uncultured bacterium. Its description in RNAcentral is "partial 16S ribosomal RNA". It matches the Rfam family "Bacterial small subunit ribosomal RNA", at positions 28 to 507 of the family's 1533-position model. The record is from RNAcentral.
GACGAACGCUGGCGGCGUGCUUAACACAUGCAAGUCGAACGGAAAGGCCCUGCUUUUGUGGGGUGCUCGAGUGGCGAACGUGUGAGUAACACGUGAGUAACCUGCCCUUGACUUUGGGAUAACUUCAGGAAACUGGGGCUAAUACCGGAUAGGAGCUCCUGCUGCAUGGGGGGGGAUGGAAAGUUUCGGCGGUUGGGGAUGGACUCGCGGCUUAUCAGCUUGUUGGUGGGGUAGUGGCUUACCAAGGCUUGGACGGGUAGCCGGCCUGAGAGGGUGACCGGCCCCAUUGGGACUGGGAUACGGCCCAGCCUCCUACGGGAGGCAGCAGUGGGGAAUAUUGCCCAAUGGGCGGAAGCCUGAUGCAGCAACGCCGCGUGCGGGAUGACGGCCUUCGGGUUGUAACCCGCUUUCGCCUGUGACGAAGCGUGAGUGACGGUAAUGGGUAAAGAAGCACCGGCUAACUACGUG